GGGGACGUAGCUCAGUUGGUAGAGCGACGCGUUCGCAAUGCGUAGGUCGAGGGUUCGACUCCCUUCGUCUCCACCA
This 76-nucleotide transfer RNA is filed under the name Planctomycetota bacterium. RNAcentral's name for it is "Planctomycetes bacterium (bioreactor metagenome) tRNA-Ala". It matches the Rfam family "tRNA". Rfam says of the family: Transfer RNA (tRNA) molecules are approximately 80 nucleotides in length. Their secondary structure includes four short double-helical elements and three loops (D, anti-codon, and T loops). The record is from RNAcentral. Lineage: Bacteria; Pseudomonadati; Planctomycetota. RNAcentral also lists the same sequence under 1 other name.